RNAcentral lists this unclassified non-coding RNA (289 nucleotides) under uncultured Glomus. Its description in RNAcentral is "sequence contains 5.8S rRNA gene". The stretch from base 1 to 53 matches the Rfam family "5.8S ribosomal RNA", at positions 102 to 154 of the family's 154-position model. Lineage: Eukaryota; Fungi; Glomeromycota; Glomeromycetes; Glomerales; Glomeraceae. The record is from RNAcentral.
GAACGCAAAUUGCACUUUCUGGUAUUCCAGAAAGUAUGCCUGUUUGAGCGUCAGUUAAAUAAAAAUCGGUGUUGUUGCUACCCGUAGUGGUGUUAAUGCAUCGGAAUUGAGUUGUCUUUACCUUUUUUGGUUGAAGUGACUUAAAAUUAUAUACGAUUUUUUGAACGUAUUUAAAUUAUUUACGUAUGUUCAUAAUAUCAAAUAUUAGGUGCGAUCAUCCUUAUGAUUCACAUCUAUAAUUUUUCAUUAUUUGACCUCAAAUCAGGUAAGAGUACCCGCUGAACUUAAG